Molecule: ribosomal RNA, 895 nt
Filed under: Limosilactobacillus fermentum
Lineage: Bacteria; Bacillati; Bacillota; Bacilli; Lactobacillales; Lactobacillaceae
Description: bacterial SSU rRNA
Rfam family: Bacterial small subunit ribosomal RNA
Source: RNAcentral
GCCCAGAAGCGGGGGACAACAUUUGGAAACAGAUGCUAAUACCGCAUAACARCGUUGUUCGCAUGAACAACGCUCAAAAGAUGGCUUCUCGCUAUCACUUCUGGAUGGACCUGCGGUGCAUUAGCUUGUUGGUGGGGUAAYGGCCUACCAAGGCGAUGAUGCAUAGCCGAGUUGAGAGACUGAUCGGCCACAAUGGGACUGAGACACGGCCCAUACUCCUACGGGAGGCAGCAGUAGGGAAUCUUCCACAAUGGGCGCAAGCCUGAUGGAGCAACACCGCGUGAGUGAAGAAGGGUUUCGGCUCGUAAAGCUCUGUUGUUAAAGAAGAACACGUAUGAGAGUAACUGUUCAUACGUUGACGGUAUUUAACCAGAAAGUCACGGCUAACUACGUGCCAGCAGCCGCGGUAAUACGUAGGUGGCAAGCGUUAUCCGGAUUUAUUGGGCGUAAAGAGAGUGCAGGCGGUUUUCUAAGUCUGAUGUGAAAGCCUUCGGCUUAACCGGAGAAGUGCAUCGGAAACUGGAUAACUUGAGUGCAGAAGAGGGUAGUGGAACUCCAUGUGUAGCGGUGGAAUGCGUAGAUAUAUGGAAGAACACCAGUGGCGAAGGCGGCUACCUGGUCUGCAACUGACGCUGAGACUCGAAAGCAUGGGUAGCGAACAGGAUUAGAUACCCUGGUAGUCCAUGCCGUAAACGAUGAGUGCUAGGUGUUGGAGGGUUUCCGCCCUUCAGUGCCGGAGCUAACGCAUUAAGCACUCCGCCUGGGGAGUACGACCGCAAGGUUGAAACUCAAAGGAAUUGACGGGGGCCCGCACAAGCGGUGGAGCAUGUGGUUUAAUUCGAAGCUACGCGAAGAACCUUACCAGGUCUUGACAUCUUGCGCCAACCCUAGAGAU